GACGAACGCUGGCGGCGUGCCUAAUACAUGCAAGUAGAACGCUGAAGGAGGAGCUUGCUUCUCUGGAUGAGUUGCGAACGGGUGAGUAACGCGUAGGUAACCUGCCUGGUAGCGGGGGAUAACUAUUGGAAACGAUAGCUAAUACCGCAUAAGAGUAGAUGUUGCAUGACAUUUGCUUAAAAGUUGCAAUUGCAUCACUACCAGAUGGACCUGCGUUGUAUUAGCUAGUUGGUGGGGUAACGGCUCACCAAGGCGACGAUACAUAGCCGACCUGAGAGGGUGAUCGGCCACACUGGGACUGAGACACGGCCCAGACUCCUACGGGAGGCAGCAGUAGGGAAUCUUCGGCAAUGGACGGAAGUCUGACCGAGCAACGCCGCGGGAGUGAAGAAGGGUUUCGGAUCGUAAAGCUCUGUUGUAAGAGAAGAACGAGUGUGAGAGUGGAAAGUUCACACUGUGACGGUAGCUUACCAGAAAGGGACGGCUAACUACGUG
Molecule: ribosomal RNA, 495 nt
Filed under: uncultured bacterium
Lineage: Bacteria
Description: partial 16S ribosomal RNA
Rfam family: Bacterial small subunit ribosomal RNA
Source: RNAcentral